GGCCUCAAUGCUAAUAGUAUUGAGGAUUGACGUUACCCACAGAAGAAGCACCGGCUAACUCUGUGCCAGCAGCCGCGGUAAUACAGAGGGUGCAAGCGUUAAUCGGAAUUACUGGGCGUAAAGGGUGCGUAGGUGGUUUUUAAGUCAGAUGUGAAAUCCCUGGGCUCAACCUAGGAAUUGCAUUUGAUACUGAAUAACUUGAGUAUGGUAGAGGGAAGUGGAAUUUCCAGUGUAGCGGUGAAAUGCGUAGAUAUUGGAAGGAACAUCAGUGGCGAAGGCGACUUCCUGGACCAUUACUGACACUGAGGCACGAAAGCGUGGGGAGCGAACAGGAUUAGAUACCCUGGUAGUCCACGCCGUAAACGAUGAGAACUAGAUGUUAGGGGGCUUAGACCUCUUAGUAUCGCAGCAAACGCGUUAAGUUCUCCGCCUGGGGAGUACGGCCGCAAGGUUAAAACUCAAAUGAAUUGACGGGG
This 476-nucleotide ribosomal RNA is filed under the name uncultured bacterium. Its description in RNAcentral is "bacterial SSU rRNA". It matches the Rfam family "Bacterial small subunit ribosomal RNA", at positions 451 to 918 of the family's 1533-position model. The record is from RNAcentral.